Non-coding RNA from Camellia sinensis, 178 nucleotides. The record is from RefSeq and is a predicted model, not a curated record. Lineage: Eukaryota; Viridiplantae; Streptophyta; Magnoliopsida; Ericales; Theaceae.
CUUUCCCUUUGGUUCUUUGCAUUGUUUUUAAAUGGUUUGCAGAAAGGUAUUGAUGAGAACUGGGCAGCUGCUCUUGAACACAAUCCUGAAGCUUUUGCAAGGGUGGUCAUGUUAUAUGUUGACAUGGAAGUCAAUGGUGUCCCUUUGAAGGCGUUCGUUGAUAGUGGUGCUCAGUCAA